Molecule: long non-coding RNA, 230 nt
Filed under: Elaeis guineensis (African oil palm)
Lineage: Eukaryota; Viridiplantae; Streptophyta; Magnoliopsida; Arecales; Arecaceae
Description: long non-coding RNA (EGUI_LNC044882)
Source: RNAcentral
UUGGGGUGUGCAUAAAAAUUUGAAUUUCAGAUUUUUGGUUCUAAGAGUUUGGGAAGAGAGAAUAAAAUAGAAAAAAUUAUUUUUUUUCUAUCUUUCUUUUACCUCUUCAUUUCUUAUAGAAGUUCAUCUUCAACCUUUAAAAAUAUUUCAGAGAUUUGAAGAAAAGAUCCAGAUCAACCAAGAAGAAGAUCUUUGCACGAGCUAGCACUCCCGAGAAAACCGAUCAGAUC